Non-coding RNA from Phalacrocorax carbo (great cormorant), 1690 nucleotides. Lineage: Eukaryota; Metazoa; Chordata; Aves; Suliformes; Phalacrocoracidae. The record is from RefSeq and is a predicted model, not a curated record.
UGCCAUCACUCUGCCUGUCCUGAAAUGCAGCCGCCUCUGACAGAGAACAGCUUGUGCACCAGGAGUCAACCACUCUCAGAAAAGGAAGAGCCAGCCAGUUAUUUUGUGCUACCAAAGGAGAAAAAAAUAAAGCAAAAACAAAGCUCAGCACCAAGCAGAGGUCAGAGACUAAUUAAGUUUCCUUUCAAGAGAGAAUGCUAUGAAAUGAAGCCUGUGUGAACAGUGGAGUGGCUGGUAAAUCAUCAUCAGGCAUAAUUACCUCGGAAAUAGAGCUGGGAGAUAUAUUUGCAACAGAUUUACUUUUCCCAUUCCCUCCUCCCCAAUCUUUAGGAGAAAAAAUAUGAAACAAAUUAAAACUGCCCUAGUGAAGAUACAGCCUGAGACUCUUAUCACUCACGUGCCUCAUUAAGGGGAAGAUGAUGACCAAAGCAAGGCACUCACCCCUACCUUCUUGUGAUGCUUCCCAGCAGAAAUCCCGACCCACCUGCAAAGCCGAAAAAGCCCCUUUCUCCCACCUCCACUGGGCUUUAAAGAGCCCAGGUUGCUUGAGGAAUGUGCUGUGUGAUUGGUAGGGCACCCAUCACAUGAGGAAAACUUUUUUUCUAGCCAAACCUGUUUCCUGAUCCCCAGUGGGACUGGAGGGUGUCUCUGUGAUUCUCAGAUCGUAUCGGAAUGCUGUUGUGCUGAAAACACAAAGCUUUAAAGAAUUUCUGUUAUUAUGCUUUUGAAAGGGUGGAUGUAUGACUCACUCCUAUGAGAUACUUGAACUUUAAAGAGGAUGGGCAAGUUGGAAUGAUGUAAAUAUAAAUAUUAGAAUUGCUGGACUGCUGGUUGAACAUGCAUAUAAGAAGAAUGUACUGACUAGAAAAGAGAGUAAAUGAAUUUUAAUGUUUCCAUUUAAUUACGUUGCAUGGGGAAAAUCCAGUGGUUUAGGUUGGAUCCAUCUUCAUUUUAUUUAGGUAAAGAUUUUACUUUGGAAACAGAAGCGUAGGUGUUGACUACUCUGCAAGACACUGUGGAUAACAUUAAAAAUGGGGGGACUAUUGCAUACCCUGGGGUCCUUUGGAUUUUCAACACAUUCAAUCUUAUUAAGACCGAGCAAGUCAAGCACAGAUAUAUAUACAUUAAUUGGCUUGUGAUGAACUGAGAUGGACUGAGCCUGAGGAGCACAGCAGAAAAGGAAUGUCUCUCACCUUCCUCUCUCUCACCCACUCCAGCACAAGUCUGCCAAAAGUCAUCAUUCCUGUUACUGGAGCCUUGAGCAAAUCUCUGGCAAAAGUGCGGGUGCUUGUGCUUAGUGUUCGUCAUCUGCUGGUACAAAACCCAGACAAAUUAAUAAUGGGAAUAAGGGUGAUGAGAGCUUCAUGUUUUUACAGCCCUUCACCAAUCAAAAGCAAACAUCAAAAGAAUAUAUGUGUCUUUCCUUGGUAGCCAUCCUUGCAAAUAUCUUGUGGGAACUUAGUGAGAACUGCAAUAGGUCUAAUGUUUUAUGGAUCCCCUUGGUACUUGGAGACAACUGAAGACAGAUCCAGCUCUCCCAUGAGAUCCCCAUGAGAUUUCACCCUGAAGAAGGGAGAGAGCUUUUGGCAUUUCCAGAUCCUUGAGGCAUCACAGUGAUAAACAAAAGAAGACCUGGCCAUUGCAGCCAGCCUGAUCGAGUAGACAGGGACAAGAAAUUCGACACUUGGGU